This 1117-nucleotide long non-coding RNA is filed under the name Lepidothrix coronata (blue-crowned manakin). Its description in RNAcentral is "lncRNA (ENSLCOG00000015182.1)". The record is from RNAcentral. Lineage: Eukaryota; Metazoa; Chordata; Aves; Passeriformes; Pipridae.
UUUUUAUUCUGAAGUUAAAAUAACACCUUUUCCCCCGGUGGAAAAUUUCUGGCUUCUUUUUAAAGGAAAUGAGGGAGGGGGGGAAAAUCAACACUGAACUACACUAGGAAUCAUGACCUGUUGGAUGUUCCUCAAGUGGGUUUUUUAUUUCUGAUUCUCAACAUUCCUAUUGACUUGUUUAAUAUAAGACAAUGCUUUCCAAUACUAGGACAAAGCUUUACCUUUGUGUCACUUUCCUGACAUCAGACCCCGCAAUGUAGAUGUGUGGUCCAUGAAAUUGUUUUCACGUUUUGACGAUAUAACCCUUCCGUAUACUUAAAAACCCAACUUCUUAUGAGGCUUUAGUAAGUCAUAAAAUAAAUUAUGGUCAUCCAAAUUCCGAACAAUGAAAUUAUAACAUUGCAUUCAGCCUACAUAAUGUUUAGCUACUUUUGACUUAGAGGAAUACUACUUUUGUCUUAGAGGAAUAAAAUAAUACCUUGUGAGCAUUAUUAUAGAGUAUGUGUUCAUAUGUUUGCACACUAAGUCUUUUCUUCACCAACACUUUAUGUCGCUGUAGAAGGGUUUAUUUGAAAAAAACAUCUGCUACAGUACCACAGCCAAGAGACCCAUUCCAAGAGGCCUGUCCAGUGGAUUUCCUGGCAGAAUAUGAGAAUCUGUUAAUAAACCAUGAAACUGAAGAAAUAAUAGAGAUUGAAGAAGUGAUGUAAUGGAAUGCAAGUGAAACAAGCAACUUGGUAUUUUUCAAGCACAUAUAUCUUGUUGGCAGAAGUUAACAUAUUCUCUUACUCUUGCAAGCAGUGAGAAUAGCAUUGCCUGUAGAGACAAUUCCCCAAGAGCCUAUCUUUAAAAGCCUCUUUGUAUUUGAUUGCAUUUUCCAUAAACAUUUUGAGGUUUUGGACUACUUCUGUUUCUUCUUAUGAUAAAUACUGCAGUGUUUCAGCAAAAAUAUUUCAGUACUGCCUUGGAAGUUAUUAUACACCAUUCAAAAGAAGAACAACGAAACUUAAGGGGUUUAUUCAGGAUCUCCAGGGGUUCAGUGUCUUGAAAAAGGUACGGCUGUAUUGAUACUGUGAUCAGGAAUAAAAAUUUGUCAGCUGUAUGAAAACUUACUGAA